UACGUAGGGUGCGAGCGUUGCCCGGAUUUAUUGGGCGUAAAGCGCUCGCAGGUGGUUCGUCGCGUCGUGCGUGAAAGACCCCGGCUCAACUGGGGGAGGUCGUGCGAUACGGGCGGACUGGAGGCCAGUAGGGGGAUGCGGAAUUCCGGGUGUAGUGGUGGAAUGCGUAGAGAUCCGGAGGAACACCAGCGGCGAAGGCGGCAUCCUGGACUGGUCCUGACACUCAUGAGCGAAAGCGUGGGGAGCGAGCCGG
Molecule: ribosomal RNA, 253 nt
Filed under: uncultured bacterium
Lineage: Bacteria
Description: partial 16S ribosomal RNA
Rfam family: Bacterial small subunit ribosomal RNA
Source: RNAcentral